AAUGCCUGGACUGAGAAAAGUUGGGGACCCUGCUCUGGAUGGGUCAGCUGACACCACCUAGACCAGUAAUCUGGCUCAACCAUUUCUGUCAUGCCACCCAGGAACAGAAGACAUCAAGAAAACCUCACUUUGACCCCUUAUGAUUCCAUCUGCAACCUGACCAAUCAGCAUUCCCUACUUCCCAAUACCCUACCCACCAUAUUAUCAUUUUUUCUUUUUUUUUUUUUUUUUGAGACUGAGUUUCACUCUUGUUGGCCAGGCUGGAGUGCAAUGGUGCAAUGUCAGCUUACUUCAACUUCCGCCUCCUGGAUUCAAGCGAUUCUCCUGCCUCAGCCUCCUGAGUAGGUGAGAUUACAGGUGCUCACCACCACGCCUGGCUACUUUUUUGUGUUUUUAGUAGAGAGGGGGUUUCACCAUGUUGGCCAGGCUGUUCUUGAACUCCUGACCUUAGGUGAUCCACCUGCCUCAGCCUCCCAAAGUGCUGGGAUUACAGGCAUGAGCCACUAUGCCCGGCCCAGAUUAUUUUUAAUAUCUCUGAUCCCCGAA
RNAcentral lists this long non-coding RNA (546 nucleotides) under Homo sapiens (human). Its description in RNAcentral is "HSALNT0034830". Lineage: Eukaryota; Metazoa; Chordata; Mammalia; Primates; Hominidae. The record is from RNAcentral.